Long non-coding RNA from Cyprinus carpio (common carp), 956 nucleotides. NCBI's taxonomy places the organism in Eukaryota, Metazoa, Chordata, Actinopteri, Cypriniformes, Cyprinidae. The record is from Ensembl.
AGAAAACAACAACAACAAAGCGGAGGCGCGCAGCGAUGAAACCGAGCUGUAAUAAUACAGGACAGGCUGAGGCGCAGUUCACUCUUCCCGCCCGUAAACAGGAAAUACAAGGCUGCAACACGAGCGAGAGUCUUUCCACUUCCGGGAGACUUUAAUAACGCUCUUUUAGCAAAUAUCAAUAUCAGAGUAUAAUCUGUAGUUUACUUAAAUAGGUAUAAUAUAAUCAUAUUUUAUAUAAAUAUUUAAAAAGUUGUAAAAAAAAAUAAAUAAUACUAAAUGUUUACAGUCACAUCAAACUGGUGGUUCAGAGAACAUCUGACCUGAGCAUUAGAAACACACUGUAUAUCUGUCCCUUCCCCUCUGAGACAGACAAAAGCCUGGUUUGUGAUGUAAUCUGAUGAAAUAUAAUGAGCACACCAUCUGCCCCCCGCGCGUCAGCGCUGCAUGGACACUCUUUGGUCAGUGGGACUCGAAAGGAACGUUGGCCCAGGAGCUGGACACACACACACACACACACACACACAUAAUAGCUAUGUAUAAGUUAUGUAUUAAACACCUAAAUCUAUUUUAUAAAUUAUAAAAUAAUGUUUGGAUAUUGUACAGAAAUUCAUUCAGUGUUUUGAUAUGAUCAUCUCAUCGGUCUGUCCCAGAAUACUCCCUGUUCAGUGAGAUGCUGCUGCAGCGGCCAUGGCCAGGUGGUAGGAGACGUGAAGCGACUAGGACAUGAUUCCACUUCAACACAUCUGUAGAGGCUCCAAUGAUCCAAAUAUCUUUGGAAUUCUUCCACUGGCUCUGCUCCUUCUGGGAAAACCUCGAGUUUGAAUUCGCUUUAAGGUCAGAGAUGGCGCUCAAGAGCAUGACUCGCUCUCUGCUGAAGCUGCUGUCUUACUGCAGUAUCAUCACGCUGGAGCAGGAUGUGUAUCAGUACCUGAAAGGAAACGCUGUCCUCUGAGCCU